This 253-nucleotide ribosomal RNA is filed under the name uncultured bacterium. RNAcentral describes it as "partial 16S ribosomal RNA". It matches the Rfam family "Bacterial small subunit ribosomal RNA", at positions 524 to 776 of the family's 1533-position model. The record is from RNAcentral.
UACGUAGGGUGCGAGCGUUAAUCGGAAUUACUGGGCGUAAAGCGUGCGCAGGCGGUUUUGUAAGUCAGAUGUGAAAUCCCCGGGCUUAACCUGGGAAUGGCAUUUGGGACUGCAAGGCUGGAGUGCGGCAGAGGAGACUGGAAUUCCUGGUGUAGCAGUGAAAUGCGUAGAUAUCAGGAGGAAUACCGAUGGCGAAGGCAGGUCUCUGGGCUGACACUGACGCUCAUGCACGAAAGCGUGGGGAGCAAACAGG